UACGAAGGGGGCUAGCGUUGUUCGGAAUUACUGGGCGUAAAGCGCACGUAGGCGGGUCGUUAAGUCAGGGGUGAAAGCCCGGAGCUCAACUCCGGAAUUGCCCUUGAUACUGGCGACCUUGAGUCCGAGAGAGGUAAGUGGAACUCCGAGUGUAGAGGUGAAAUUCGUAGAUAUUCGGAAGAACACCAGUGGCGAAGGCGGCUUACUGGCCCGGUACUGACGCUGAGGUGCGAAAGCGUGGGGAGCAAACAGG
This 253-nucleotide unclassified non-coding RNA is filed under the name uncultured Alphaproteobacteria bacterium. RNAcentral describes it as "contains 16S-23S intergenic spacer region". It matches the Rfam family "Bacterial small subunit ribosomal RNA", at positions 524 to 776 of the family's 1533-position model. The record is from RNAcentral. Lineage: Bacteria; Pseudomonadati; Pseudomonadota; Alphaproteobacteria.